Molecule: long non-coding RNA, 988 nt
Filed under: Gadus morhua (Atlantic cod)
Lineage: Eukaryota; Metazoa; Chordata; Actinopteri; Gadiformes; Gadidae
Description: lncRNA (ENSGMOG00000027065.1)
Source: RNAcentral
CAAGGUUUACGUUACAACACAGGGCACUCAAUUGGUAUAUGAUACUCUAGCACUGCUUCUGGCAAUAAGCAGUGAAACCACUUCAACCCUAUGUAUGUGGAUUCUUAUUUCAGCUGCAACUGCACUUGCAACAGCUAGGUACUACUUUUCUCUGUGUCCAGUUAGGGAAAGUACGUUGACGACAAAAUAGUAUCGACACUGUUGCGAGUCACUGUUUGUAAACGGGCAAACCCCAUGCAAAUCCCAGCACUACAAUGUCUCCAUGCAAAACUUUCCCAAGUCCUGCAAAAGCUCCGCCACGUUAUCUUCUGAUAGUGUGUGUGUUUGGGUUGAGCCAAUGUCAGGUCGACCCUACGAGUAUUUGCUAUGUAUCUCUGACGUAGCGGUCUGAUUUCAAACAAACACUGAAAAAGCUGUGGCAAGUGAUUUCAUCAGGGAUUUCGGAGGUGUCUCCUAAGGAGCUUAACUCUCUUGUUCUGAGGUGGGAGAGCCAUUUGUUUUUGUGGCUUUCGACUUCACUUAGAGGAUUGAGAUCUACCUUCAAGCACGCCGCAGUUGUGUCUCUGCUUGUAAUGUUGUCCUGAGAGGAAAUUAAUGUUUGUGGCGGUAGGCCCCCGCCACAGGCCCGGUGACAGGAGCGGUGUGGGCAGAAAUAACCUCUGGUCUGAUGAAGUAAGAGACCGGAGAUGACGAUGUGAUAGACCGGGAUAAACGCUACCGUUCAGGAUCCUCCCCUUCGUCCACGUUACUCAUUCAGCGCUGGCAUGCGUCUGGGGCUGUUGUAGUGACGUCAUGUUACCGUCAGUGUGACUCACUUCCGAAGCGCGAUGAGCAAUGCAAUGAGUUAUAACAACAAUGCUUUUUACUACACCCCAGUCCAAAUAUGGACGGCUACGUUGGAACCAAAGAAAGCUUAAUGCGAUCGAUGGCAGAGGCCCUUUCAAGAUCAGUGCCAGUAUAAGCAUCUCUUCCCCUAACGCCCAGCGCG